This 636-nucleotide ribosomal RNA is filed under the name uncultured bacterium. Its description in RNAcentral is "bacterial SSU rRNA". It matches the Rfam family "Bacterial small subunit ribosomal RNA", at positions 202 to 842 of the family's 1533-position model. The record is from RNAcentral.
UAAAGAAUUUCGGUAUGGGAUGGGGAUGCGUUCCAUUAGUUAGUUGGCGGGGUAACGGCCCACCAAGACAACGAUGGAUAGGGGUUCUGAGAGGAAGGUCCCCCACAUUGGAACUGAGACACGGUCCAAACUCCUACGGGAGGCAGCAGUGAGGAAUAUUGGUCAAUGGACGAGAGUCUGAACCAGCCAAGUAGCGUGAAGGAUGACUGCCCUAUGGGUUGUAAACUUCUUUUAUAUGGGAAUAAAAUGUUCCACGUGUGGGAUUUUGUAUGUACCAUAUGAAUAAGGAUCGGCUAACUCCGUGCCAGCAGCCGCGGUAAUACGGAGGAUCCGAGCGUUAUCCGGAUUUAUUGGGUUUAAAGGGAGCGUAGGUGGAUUGUUAAGUCAGUUGUGAAAGUUUGCGGCUCAACCGUAAAAUUGCAGUUGAAACUGGCAGUCUUGAGUACAGUAGAGGUGGGCGGAAUUCGUGGUGUAGCGGUGAAAUGCUUAGAUAUCACGAAGAACUCCGAUUGCGAAGGCAGCUCACUGGACUGCAACUGACACUGAGGCUCGAAAGUGUGGGUAUCAAACAGGAUUAGAUACCCUGGUAGUCCACACAGUAAACGAUGAAUACUCGCUGUUUGCGAUAUACUGCAA